RNAcentral lists this ribosomal RNA (404 nucleotides) under Diamphipnoa virescentipennis. Its description in RNAcentral is "partial 12S ribosomal RNA". The stretch from base 51 to 404 matches the Rfam family "Microsporidia small subunit ribosomal RNA", at positions 752 to 1207 of the family's 1311-position model. Lineage: Eukaryota; Metazoa; Arthropoda; Insecta; Plecoptera; Diamphipnoidae. The record is from RNAcentral.
UAAACUACGAUUAGAUACCCUAUUAUUUUAAAUGUAAACUGUUUUAACUUGGGUAGUAAUAGUUAUGUUCUUGAAACUCAAAGAAUUUGGCGGUGUUUUAGUCCUUUCAGAGGAACCUGUCCCUUAAUCGAUAGUCCACGUUAAACCUUACUUAAUCUUGUUUCAGCUUGUAUACCGCCGUCGUCAGAAUGUCCUUAGAGGGUUUAAAUUUUCUUUAAUUUUUAUUAUAAAUGAUGUCAGGUCAAGGUGCAGCUUAUGGUUAAGUGGAGAUGGGUUACAAUAAAUAUAUUUAUAACGGAUUAUAAGUUGAAUGACUUAUUUGAAGGUGGAUUUGAUUGUAAUUUAUUAAAUUAAAGUAUUUUGAUUUUGGCUCUAAAACAUGCACACAUCGCCCGUCGCUCUUA